This 693-nucleotide ribosomal RNA is filed under the name uncultured Lecanicillium. RNAcentral describes it as "SSU rRNA". It matches the Rfam family "Eukaryotic small subunit ribosomal RNA", at positions 280 to 978 of the family's 1831-position model. The record is from RNAcentral. Lineage: Eukaryota; Fungi; Ascomycota; Sordariomycetes; Hypocreales; Cordycipitaceae.
UGCGCCGGCGAUGGUUCAUUCAAAUUUCUUCCCUAUCAACUUUCGAUGUUUGGGUAUUGGCCAAACAUGGUCGCAACGGGUAACGGAGGGUUAGGGCUCGACCCCGGAGAAGGAGCCUGAGAAACGGCUACUACAUCCAAGGAAGGCAGCAGGCGCGCAAAUUACCCAAUCCCGAUUCGGGGAGGUAGUGACAAUAAAUACUGAUACAGGGCUCUUUUGGGUCUUGUAAUUGGAAUGAGUACAAUUUAAAUCCCUUAACGAGGAACAAUUGGAGGGCAAGUCUGGUGCCAGCAGCCGCGGUAAUUCCAGCUCCAAUAGCGUAUAUUAAAGUUGUUGUGGUUAAAAAGCUCGUAGUUGAACCUUGGGCCUGGCUGGCCGGUCCGCCUCACCGCGUGUACUGGUCCGGCCGGGCCUUUCCCUCUGUGGAACCUCAUGCCCUUCACUGGGUGUGGCGGGGAAACAGGACUUUUACUUUGAAAAAAUUAGAGUGCUCCAGGCAGGCCUAUGCUCGAAUACAUUAGCAUGGAAUAAUGAAAUAGGACGUGUGGUUCUAUUUUGUUGGUUUCUAGGACCGCCGUAAUGAUUAAUAGGGACAGUCGGGGGCAUCAGUAUUCAAUUGUCAGAGGUGAAAUUCUUGGAUUUAUUGAAGACUAACUACUGCGAAAGCAUUUGCCAAGGAUGUUUUCAUUAAUC